GAGAAAGCUCUUCUAUCCAUGUACACACUGACUGUCAUAAUUUUCUUUUUUUUUCCUUUUCCAUUUUUUAUUAUGUAUUUAACUCAUUUACAUUUCCAAUGCUAUACCAAAAGUACCCCAUACCCACCCACCCCUACUCCCCUACCCACCCACUCCCCCUUUUUGGCCCUGGCGUUCCCCUGUACUGGGGCAUAUAAAGUUUGCGUGUCCAAUGGGCCUCUCUCUAUCCAUGUACACACUGACUGUCAUAAUUUUCAAACCCUUCAUUUUCUAUAAUUUCUAUUAUUAAUUAGCAAGCUAAAUCUAGUCAGGGUUGUAAGAUGGGCGAUAGAUUUUGUGGCUGUGUCUACUCAAUAAAGGCUUCCAGAAAAAAUGAAACUGUGGAACUGUGGAUAUUUAGGAAGGACGUGGGUUUUCUUAAAAUGCUUUUAUGUGAUUUAAAUUUCAAGCAAUGGUAUCUGGGGCCAGAUUCUCUCUGUUCAAAAGUCCUAGACUGCUGAGACUUCCCUAAGCACAACUUUAGAGCAUCCACAGCGGAAGAGCAAGAAUGACAGAGGAGAUUAUCAAAUGUUUUCCCAUUACCACUAUUGUUGAGCCUGCAGUACUGCCUCCAUGCUGUUUUUCCUUCCUUUCCUUUUAUAGACGCUACAGAUCCAAGCUCAUAGCACAAGGUUUUAAGAACUAUGAGUGUGUGUGUGUGUGGGGGGGGGGGGGGGGAACGGGACUGGAAAGAUGGCUUAGUGGUAAAGAGCACUCACUGCCUGCUCUUCCAGAGUUCCCGAGUCCAGUUCCCAGCAGCAACAUGGUGGCUUACAACCAUCUAUAAUGGGAUCUGAUGCCAUCUUUUGACAUGCAGGUAUACAUGCAGAUAGAAUACUAAUACAUAAAAUAAAUAAAUAAAAUGAAUCUUUAAAAUGAAAAGAAUUGUGAGUGUGAAUGGCCUAGUAAUAUAAUAGAAAAAGGAUAAUAUAUGUUAUAUAUGUUACAUUGCAUAAUAUAUAAUAAAAUAUAAUAAAAAUAGUCCUAAAAACUGUGUCACAGCAUUACCCAUGUGCUUCACUUGCUGUGUUAGAAUAUUAGCUAACUGAAUAACGUCAAAACAACACCAUUUUGCAGAAUCAUGUUUUCUGCUUCAAGCUGAGUUCUUCAUAUUGAUAUCACUCUUCCCCUUGAAGGGUUCAAGAUUCAUAGACAUUUGUUGGGGUGAGACGUUUGAUUUCCUACUCGUUUCAUUUUAAACAUCUCGUCUAAGAGGCAGAGCGCUUCCUGCAGCAUGAAACUGUAUUGAGACACUGGAUGCUUGGCCCUUCACUGAACAGACUCUCAUAGACGCACUAGUGGCGGAUAUACUUUGUGGUGUUUCCUGACACGCUCCAGCUGGGACUCCAUUAAGCUCGCUGUUUUCUUCCCUUGAAGUUGUUUCUUAAUAAGCAUUAUUAAAAUGAGUGCAUGUUAAAUAAUCUCAGGAUCAGUACUUGAGUUGAAACACGGAUGUCUGCAAAAGAUAAAAAGCAAUUUUUUAAAAGUCUAUUAAAAGUCAGAAUAGAAUAUGCGGACUCAUUCUAACUGAGGGGUGAUUAUAAAGGGAAGUGUGCUACCUCAGUCAGGCCCUCACAUGCUGACACCCUGUGAGUAGUGGAGUCCUGUUAAAGGUCACAGUGACUUCAGACAAAGUUGUAAAUCAAUGUCAUGUUUAUGAGCUCACAGAGUUACAGCUAUGUCUGUUUCCUAAGGAGUCUUGGGAGGGUAGCCUUUCUCACUGUGGUGAUAAGAAACCAAUCAUCGUGAAACCCAUUUCUCUUCCUAUCAACUCAAGAAGAGACAGAAGGGACAGAGAAAAAUAUAAAUGUCAGAUGGACUACUGGCUUCUGAGACACAAGCUUGUGGAAAU
This 1891-nucleotide long non-coding RNA is filed under the name Mus musculus (house mouse). RNAcentral describes it as "long non-coding RNA chr6:139776429-139778320". The record is from RNAcentral. Lineage: Eukaryota; Metazoa; Chordata; Mammalia; Rodentia; Muridae.